UGUAUAUGUGUAUGUUCACCCUUUGUUAUACGGCCCUUAUUAGAAUUGUUUUUUAAGUAAAAUUGUUCUGAUAUAUAUUGCACAGAGAACUUUUCGGUGGCCAGUGGUCAUCUAGCAGAAGACUUGAUAGCAAAACAGUCAUUAUCACUGGAGCAAAUACUGGCAUUGGCAAAGAAACCACAAGAGACUUGGCAAAACGAGGGGCCAGGAUAAUCGUGGCUGGCAGAGACCUUGACAAAGCAGAGGUUUCACAGAAAAAGAUCAUUGAAGACUCAGGGAACCAAAACAUAGUGAUCAGGAAACUCAACUUAUCUGACAAGUCUAGUCAAUCAGAGAAUUUGCUGAGAGGAGAGAGCCCUUCAUAUUCUCAUUAAUAAUGCUGGGAUCAUGAUGUGCCCCUACUCUAAGACAGCAGAUGGGUUUGAGAUGCAGUUUGGUGUCAGCCACUUAGGUCACUUCCUGCUAACCUUCCUGCUGAUUGAUCUGCUGAAGAGAUCUGGCCCCUCAAGAAUCAUCAACCUCUGCUCCAUGGCACAUAGUUGGGGCACGAUAAGCCUUGAUGAUAUCAAUAGUGAGAGGAAUUAUCAUAGCAGGAGGGCAUAUGGUCAGAGUAAGUUGUCCAUCAUCCUCUUUACUCACUCCUUGGCCAAAAAACUCAAAGGUAAGUCUUUAAUAAAGUAGCAGAUACAUUUUUGGAAUAAAAGGAAAUUAAAGGUAAAGUUUGUAAUUUCUGCACCACUAGAGGUACCAAACAGUAUUGCAAAUGUACUCACUUGCCCCAUCUGCCAUUGGUUGGUCCAAAAGGAAGUCCUACCUUAAAGUCACGCCAUUGGUUGAGCCAAUGUUGUUGUGUCAUGGACAUACAAACAAUGCAUUAUUUUGAUAGUGCCACAGAGCCACAGGGAAAUCAACCCAUGCAGUUGACUGCACAUUGGGCUGGGAUAGGAGAAAGUAUUUAAAAAAAUAAAAAUACACACUUCACCUUUAAGUAGUAAUUGUGCAAAAGAACAUUUUUGGGAAACUUUUUGAUUAACAGAAAAAAAGAAGAUUCCUUAUAUGUUUGUUCUGUUAUCAGACACUGGUGAGACAGUAUAUGCAGUCCAUAUGCAGUCCAUCCAGGAAUUGUGCAAACAGAACUUAAAAGGCAUGUGACUUCUUGUCUUGUCGUGGAAAGUUGUCAGAGCUUUCACAAAGACUUCAGUGCAGGGAGCACAAACUACUAUCUACUGUGCAGUAGAACCACAAUUAGACACAGAACGUGGUGGUUACUACAGUAACUAUGGACCUUCACGAUGCACCAGAGCUGCUAGAGAUGAUGACAUGAAUGAGAAAAUCUGGGAGCUAAGCUGCAAGAUGCUGGGAAUAGUCUGGGACUGAAUGCAUUAAGAGGUUUUUUGUUUUAUUUGUUUGUUUCUCAUGGACAGUUAAUAUAAAGCAGAUAAACCUAAUUUAUUUUUUUACUUUACUUAAAAUCAUUUGGCUGACAGUAAGUUCAGUUUCUGACAGAGUUACAACAGUAGUCUUAUGCAUUUGUUUCAUUCUCUGCCAGUAAUUUUCUUUUAUGA
Long non-coding RNA from Myxocyprinus asiaticus (Chinese sucker), 1565 nucleotides. RefSeq lists it as uncharacterized. Lineage: Eukaryota; Metazoa; Chordata; Actinopteri; Cypriniformes; Catostomidae. The transcript is spliced from 5 exons. The record is from RefSeq and is a predicted model, not a curated record.